GUGCUCACUUGAACAGUACAUAUACGGAAAUUGAAAUGAUACAGAGAUUAGCAUGGCCUCUGGGCAAGGAUUACACUCAAGUUCAUGAAAUGCUCCAUAUUUUU
This is a small nuclear RNA of Sorex araneus (European shrew), 104 nucleotides long. The record is from Ensembl. NCBI's taxonomy places the organism in Eukaryota, Metazoa, Chordata, Mammalia, Eulipotyphla, Soricidae.